Molecule: ribosomal RNA, 889 nt
Filed under: Phanerochaete taiwaniana
Lineage: Eukaryota; Fungi; Basidiomycota; Agaricomycetes; Polyporales; Phanerochaetaceae
Description: LSU rRNA
Rfam family: Eukaryotic large subunit ribosomal RNA
Source: RNAcentral
AACUAACAAGGAUUCCCCUAGUAACUGCGAGUGAAGCGGGAAAAGCUCAAAUUUAAAAUCUGAUAGUCUUUGGCUGUCCGAGUUGUAGUCUGGAGAAGCGUCUUCCGCGUUGGACCGUGUACAAGUCUCCUGGAACGGAGCGUCAUAGAGGGUGAGAAUCCCGUCUUUGACACGGACUACCAGUGCUUUUGUGAUGCGCUCUCAAAGAGUCGAGUUGUUUGGGAAUGCAGCUCAAAAUGGGUGGUAAACUCCAUCUAAAGCUAAAUAUUGGCGAGAGACCGAUAGCGAACAAGUACCGUGAGGGAAAGAUGAAAAGCACUUUGGAAAGAGAGUUAAACAGUACGUGAAAUUGCUGAAAGGGAAACGCUUGAAGUCAGUCGCGUUUGCUAGGACUCAGCCUUGCUUCGGCUUGGUGCACUUCCUAGUAGACGGGCCAGCAUCACUUUUGGCUGCGGGAAAAAGAUCAGAGGAAUGUGGCACCUUCGGGUGUGUUAUAGCCUCUGGUUGUAUACCGUGGCUGGGAGUGAGGAUCUCAGCACGCCUUUAUGGCGGGGCUUCGGCCACCUUCGUGCUUAGGAUGCUGGCGUAAUGGCUUUAAACGACCCGUCUUGAAACACGGACCAAGGAGUCUAACAUGCCUGCGAGUGUUUGGGUGGAAAACCCGAGCGCGUAAUGAAAGUGAAAGUUGGGACCUCUGUCGUGGAGGGCACCGACGCCCGGACCAGACCUUCGGUGACGGAUCUGCGGUAGAGCAUGUAUGUUGGGACCCGAAAGAUGGUGAACUAUGCCUGAAUAGGGUGAAGCCAGAGGAAACUCUGGUGGAGGCUCGUAGCGAUUCUGACGUGCAAAUCGAUCGUCAAAUUUGGGUAUAGGGGCGAAAGACUAAUCG